This 246-nucleotide ribosomal RNA is filed under the name uncultured bacterium. RNAcentral's name for it is "partial 16S ribosomal RNA". It matches the Rfam family "Bacterial small subunit ribosomal RNA", at positions 15 to 263 of the family's 1533-position model. The record is from RNAcentral.
GAUCCUGGCUCAGAUUGAACGCUGGCGGCAUGCUUUACACAUGCAAGUCGAACGGUAACAGGGAGCUUGCUCCGCUGACGAGUGGCGAACGGGUGAGUAAUAUAUCGGAACGUACCCAGAAGUGGGGGAUAACGUAGCGAAAGUUACGCUAAUACCGCAUACGAUCCACGGAUGAAAGUAGGGGACCUUCGGGCCUUAUGCUUUUGGAGCGGCCGAUAUCUGAUUAGCUAGUUGGUGAGGUAAAGG